This 578-nucleotide ribosomal RNA is filed under the name uncultured Penicillium. RNAcentral describes it as "partial 18S ribosomal RNA". Lineage: Eukaryota; Fungi; Ascomycota; Eurotiomycetes; Eurotiales; Aspergillaceae. The record is from RNAcentral.
UCCUCCGCUUAUUGAUAUGCUCCUCUUCAGGGUCUAUCCCUACCUGAUCCGAGGGAUCCCUGGGUAAAAAACUGAUGUGCCCUGGACGGCCGGUCGGGCCUGCAUAACUGGUGACACCCUGCCGUACCCUCGAUGACCCGACUCGCAGCCCAUCCUGCCUUUCCCACCCGGCCCCCGGAAGGAGAAGCGAGCCCCGAUCACCCUUCCCGCUUGAUGCCCACCCUGACUGUCGAACGGGCCCGCCCCCCGGAUUUUCUCCUUACGCAAUGUGCGUUCAAAGACUCGAUGAUUCACUGAAUUCUGCAAUUCACAUUGCUCAGAUGAUUUCUAUGCGUUCCUCCCCCAAGCCCGAACCACAACAUCCGAUGCUGACUGUUUUAAUUUAUUGCUCUAAUUGCUCGCACUGCAAUCUUCUGAGACCGUUCAAUGGUGUCUUCUGUGGCCGAGGUUCUCACCGCCAAUGCCCCCCGGCGGCCUUGCGGCGGGCCCCCCGAAGCAACUAUGUUUAAUAGUUACGGUCAUGAGGUUGGACCCUCAGGGACCUCACUCGGUAAUGAUCCUUCCACAUGUUCACCUAC